RNAcentral lists this transfer RNA (72 nucleotides) under Monilinia vaccinii-corymbosi. Its description in RNAcentral is "tRNA-Asp". It matches the Rfam family "tRNA". From Rfam's summary of the family: Transfer RNA (tRNA) molecules are approximately 80 nucleotides in length. Their secondary structure includes four short double-helical elements and three loops (D, anti-codon, and T loops). The record is from RNAcentral. RNAcentral also lists the same sequence under 9 other names. Lineage: Eukaryota; Fungi; Ascomycota; Leotiomycetes; Helotiales; Sclerotiniaceae.
UCUUUGAUGGUCUAACGGUCAUGAUUUCCGCUUGUCACGCGGGAGACCGGGGUUCGACUCCCCGUCAGAGAG